RNAcentral lists this ribosomal RNA (450 nucleotides) under uncultured bacterium. RNAcentral's name for it is "partial 16S ribosomal RNA". It matches the Rfam family "Bacterial small subunit ribosomal RNA", at positions 354 to 796 of the family's 1533-position model. The record is from RNAcentral.
GUGGGGAAUCUUCCGCAAUGGACGAAAGUCUGACGGAGCGACGCCGCGUGAGUGAAGAAGGCCUUCGGGUCGUAAAGCUCUGUCAUCAGGGACGAACGGCCGGUGGAGUGGAAAGCCACCGGAUUGACGGUACCUGAGAAGGAAGCCACGGCUAACUACGUGCCAGCAGCCGCGGUAAUACGUAGGUGGCAAGCGUUGUCCGGAAUUAUUGGGCGUAAAGCGCGCGCAGGUGGGAUCUUAAGUCCAUUUUUAAAGUUCGGAGCUCAACUCCGUGAUGGGAUGGAAACUGGGAUUCUUGAGUACCGGAGAGGAAAGCGGAAUUCCCCGUGUAGCGGUGAAAUGCGUAGAUAUGGGGAGGAACACCAGUGGCGAAGGCGGCUUUCUGGACGGUGUCUGACACUGAGGCGCGAAAGCCUGGGGAGCGAACGGGAUUAGAAACCCGAGUAGUCC